Molecule: ribosomal RNA, 464 nt
Filed under: uncultured Klebsiella sp.
Lineage: Bacteria; Pseudomonadati; Pseudomonadota; Gammaproteobacteria; Enterobacterales; Enterobacteriaceae
Description: bacterial SSU rRNA
Rfam family: Bacterial small subunit ribosomal RNA
Source: RNAcentral
CUACGGGGGGCAGCAGUGGGGAAUAUUGCACAAUGGGCGCAAGCCUGCUGCAGCCAUGCCGCGUGUGUGAAGAAGGCCUUCGGGUUGUAAAGCACUUUCAGCGGGGAGGAAGGCGGUGAGGUUAAUAACCUCAUCGAUUGACGUUACCCGCAGAAGAAGCACCGGCUAACUCCGUGCCAGCAGCCGCGGUGAUACGGAGGGUGCAAGCGUUAAUCGGAAUUACUGGGCGUAAAGCGCACGCAGGCGGUCUGUCAAGUCGGAUGUGAAAUCCCCGGGCUCAACCUGGGAACUGCAUUCGAAACUGGCAGGCUAGAGUCUUGUAGAGGGGGGUAGAAUUCCAGGUGUAGCGGUGAAAUGCGUAGAGAUCUGGAGGAAUACCGGUGGCGAAGGCGGCCCCCUGGACAAAGACUGACGCUCAGGUGCGAAAGCGUGGGGAGCAAACAGGAUUAGAUACCCGUGUAGUC